UCUUCUUCUACCCGAGAACAGAGAGGGAGCUUGAGAAGAGAGAAACAGAGGCGAGAGAGUGAGACUGAGAGGGAGACUUGAAAGAACAGAGAGAUCGAGAGAGAGAAAACACGAUCAAGAGAGAGAGAGGGCCGAUCGUGGUGGACCCAGACCGAACCGGAGAAGAGAGAAUCAGGGGAGGCCGGUCCUCCAUGGGUCGCCGGAGGACGCGACUUCCGACGGCCUGGAGCGGGACUUCCGGUGGGUGAGCUGGGUCGGCGAGGCAGAGCCGAUUUUCGGCGGAACGGAGGUGCGAUUUUCGGUGGGCGACGCCGGUGAGCAAGUUGGGUUUGCAAUGGGUGAUUUCCGGUGACUUUUUCGGCGAUUCCAGCUCACUGAUUUUCGGUGGAUUUUCUGCACAAUCAUUGAUGUAAAAGGUCGAUUCUGACGCUAAUGGAAAGUCCAGAUGUCAACAGUAAGACGAAGUCUUUUCCUUGUAAGGGCGUAGACCUCGCUGAGAGCGAUAGUUCGUGAUGAACCGGCCGGACCCUAGUAUUGUAUAGUAUGUUUUGUUUCUUUUAGAGAAAUCAAAGUGUUGUAAAGAAUUAUUAAUAGAAAGGUUUAAAAAUAGGAAGUUUUAAAUUUAUAUGUUGUAAAUGCACGCUUCCAUUUAAAAUGUUUGUUUUUAGUA
Molecule: long non-coding RNA, 670 nt
Organism: Alnus glutinosa
Lineage: Eukaryota; Viridiplantae; Streptophyta; Magnoliopsida; Fagales; Betulaceae
Exons: 3
Source: RefSeq, a predicted model, not a curated record